Molecule: ribosomal RNA, 504 nt
Filed under: uncultured bacterium
Lineage: Bacteria
Description: partial 16S ribosomal RNA
Rfam family: Bacterial small subunit ribosomal RNA
Source: RNAcentral
AUUGAACGCUGGCGGCAGGCCUAGCACAUGCAAGUCGAACGGUAGCACAGAGAGCUUGCUCUCGGGUGACGAGUGGCGGACGGGUGAGUAAUGUCUGGGAAACUGCCUGAUGGAGGGGGAUAACUACUGGAAACGGUAGCUAAUACCGCAUAACGUCGCAAGACCAAAGAGGGGGACCUUCGGGCCUCUUGCCAUCGGAUGUGCCCAGAUGGGAUUAGCUUGUUGGUGAGGUAAAGGCUCACCAAGGCGACGAUCCCUAGCUGGUCUGAGAGGAUGACCAGCCACACUGGAACUGAGACACGGUCCAGACUCCUACGGGAGGCAGCAGUGGGGAAUAUUGCACAAUGGGCGCAAGCCUGUUGCAGCCAUGCCGCGUGUGUGAAGAAGGCCUUCGGGUUGUAAAGCACUUUCAGCGGGGAGGAAGGCGGUGAGUUUAAUAAGCUCACCGAUUGACGUUACCCGCAGAAGAAGCACCGGCUAACUCCGUGCCAGCCGCCGCUGUAA